CCAUUUCUACUUGGCCCAGUUUCAAACCUUACAAACUGUAGGAAAUGCACCUGAGAAGCGUGAAAGUUGGACUCCGGUAGUCAAUCCAACAAGAUAAGCUGUUUAAAAGCCCGAAACCGAAAACUGGUAAACAACAGUCUUGAAGAAACAAACAUCACACUCUCUACAUAGAUCGCAGUUUAGAAAGAGAGAGAAGCAAGAAAAUGAAGCUGAAGAUAUACGCAGAUCGAAUGUCCCAGCCAUCACGGGCAGUUCU
RNAcentral lists this long non-coding RNA (256 nucleotides) under Jatropha curcas. RNAcentral's name for it is "long non-coding RNA (JCUR_LNC003493)". The record is from RNAcentral. Lineage: Eukaryota; Viridiplantae; Streptophyta; Magnoliopsida; Malpighiales; Euphorbiaceae.